Molecule: long non-coding RNA, 909 nt
Filed under: Mus musculus (house mouse)
Lineage: Eukaryota; Metazoa; Chordata; Mammalia; Rodentia; Muridae
Description: long non-coding RNA chr8:96456590-96457499
Source: RNAcentral
ACAGAGCCAUAUGUUUAAAGAACUUGUCCAGGAGAUCUUCAGAAGGCCAGGCUAAAUGACUAACUGCUGUCUUUAUCCCUUGGGCCUUUAGAUCUCCAAAAGCUGUUAUGGGAAGUCAGAUGACAAUGCAGACUAGGAUAUGUGUUGAUUUUGUACUUACUUUUUUUACUUACUUAUUGCACACUGUAUACAAUAUCUUGGAAAAUAAGACAAGCCUUUUAUUUGUACUGAGAAAUCCUAACACUAAUUAUGCUAAACUAUUACAGAUAUGGCCAUGGGUUGAACUACUGUGAUAUGUUUUAGCAAGUGUGUGCUUAGAUAAUUUUGUUGUUUAGAAUCGGAGUGAACAUAUCACUAACAUUAAGCUUAGGUCAAUCAUUCUAUAUGGCCUUGCGAUUCAAGAAAGAAGUGGGGAAAACAUGAGACAUUUCUGACUAAUGCAGAUAUUUCAUAGUGUACCAUUUUGUAAUAAGAGUAUUCUCUAACAAUAAAAACUAUUAACUUAUCAGCAUAAAAUAUUAUUUCUUGGGAAUAAUUACAUAUGGUAAACUUUUAUGACAGGCAGGAAGUGCAUUGAGCGUGACAUCAUCAGCACCACAUACAACUGAGUAAUAUAUUGUACUAGAGCAUUGUAGUAACUAUGUCCAAUGGGUGAUAGCAAUUUUUCAACUCCAAUUAUAAUCUUUUGGAACUACUAUUCCAUAUGCUGUCAGCCAUUAACUACAUCAUUAUGUGGAGAAUGAUUAUAUUAUUAAACAGGAUGAAGCAAUAGUAUUGAGGUAGGGCAUGUUGACUCUGCUUUGGCUAUUGUGAAUUACUGUGGUACAUGUGGGAAUGGAUAUCUUUGACACGGUGCUUUCAUUCUGUUGGAUAUAUAUCCAGUGAUGGCAUUACUGAGCUAAUAGAACU